CGGCGGACGGGUGAGUAACACGUGGAUAACCUACCUAUAAGACUGGGAUAACUUCGGGAAACCGGAGCUAAUACCGGAUAAUAUAUUGAACCGCAUGGUUCAAUAGUGAAAGACGGUUUUGCUGUCACUUAUAGAUGGAUCCGCGACGCAUUAGCUAGUUGGUAAGGUAACGGCUUACCAAGGCAACGAUGCGUAGCCGACCUGAGAGGGUGAUCGGCCACACUGGAACUGAGACACGGUCCAGACUCCUACGGGAGGCAGCAGGC
This 266-nucleotide ribosomal RNA is filed under the name uncultured Staphylococcus sp. RNAcentral's name for it is "partial 16S ribosomal RNA". It matches the Rfam family "Bacterial small subunit ribosomal RNA", at positions 96 to 354 of the family's 1533-position model. The record is from RNAcentral. Lineage: Bacteria; Bacillati; Bacillota; Bacilli; Caryophanales; Staphylococcaceae.